UUCGCUUCUAUAUAUAGAGCGUCCGACGGAAAUUUCGUAUCUUUGGAAAGUAUUACUUUCAAAAAUCUUUUUUGUAUAAUAUUUAAAGGAGUUAAAUAACUUUUUGUUAAUCCGCCCCAACCCAGUAUUCCAUAAUUUAGAUGACUUUCGACAAGAGCAUGGUAAGAUGGUAUAUGACGUAGCUUCCGUAUUCAUCCUUAUACAGUCAAAAGGAGGUAAAUUGACCUUAGUGCAACUAAAAGCUCAUCCCAUGACUCCGAUUUAUAGAAUAUGGCAGUGUCAUCUGCAUAUCCAAUGAUCUCUCCUUUACUUGGAAUCGAA
This is a long non-coding RNA of Anoplophora glabripennis (Asian longhorned beetle), 321 nucleotides long. RefSeq lists it as uncharacterized. The transcript has 3 exons. The record is from RefSeq and is a predicted model, not a curated record. NCBI's taxonomy places the organism in Eukaryota, Metazoa, Arthropoda, Insecta, Coleoptera, Cerambycidae.